GGACGGUUAUUACACAUCCUAUAUCAGAUAUAUAAGAGCCACCAUACCUGCUGUCAAAUUGCGCUCUCCAUUUCUCGCACUCUUUGUUCUUUAUCAAUUCAUUAAGGAUGUACAUCUGAUAUUAUUGUUCUGGGGGUCGUAAGCGAGUUCCUCUGGAACCCGUAUCACCGAAUUCUAAACAAAAUGAGAAACGUCGAUAUGUUCAUCCAACUGAAUUUAAUGUGCAAUACAGAGAUACUGAUACUGAAAAUUCCAAUCCCAACAUUAUGAUAUCAGGUUCCACG
Molecule: long non-coding RNA, 284 nt
Organism: Daucus carota subsp. sativus
Lineage: Eukaryota; Viridiplantae; Streptophyta; Magnoliopsida; Apiales; Apiaceae
Exons: 3
Source: RefSeq, a predicted model, not a curated record